UCAGCAGCCAUCAUUAUUUUUAAACCUGUUUUGAAAACCUUACAAUGAUAUUACACCAUGGAGACACACGAGGGCGCGCCAGGCAUCUAUUUAAAAUGUGUUUUCAUAGCUUUUCUUGAAGGAUGUAAUUUUGAGUGUGUACAGGAAACGGGGGGCCGCAGGGGAGUCUUAAGGGUCCCCUGUGAGUGACAAGGGCAAGUCUUAUUUCCAGCUUGGUCCAGUCUGCCAGCCUUGUCAAUGAAAUACCAGGAUUCCCUUCCUGAAUGCUCCAUAGUGGAAUCAGGGAUGUCAUAUAAAAGACACAUCGCUUGCAGCCUGUGGGGGCGGGUUUCCUUCUUGCAGCAGAAUGCUUCUGAGAUUCAUCCGUGUUGUCCGUCGGUAGAUGGUCUGCUCCUUUUGAUUGCUGACUCGUACGUAAUUUAUCCUAUGAAUGAAUGAGCCACCGUUUGAUCCAUUCCCCAGGUUACACACCAGGAGUGGGACUGCAGGAUCGUACGAGUGUGUGUUUAACAUCAUGGGAAACUGCCAUGCCGUUUUUCAGAGCGGCUGCACCAUUUCACAUUCCCACUAGUGACGUAGGAGCCUGAUAGCUGCUCUGCAUUCCCACAUCUGCUUUUUCUCAUCAUUGAAUUUCUACCAUCAAGCAUAGAACAUGGCACUGGUAAGUGCUCAACAAAUAUGCACAUAGUAAGUACACAGAAAUAUGCGUACCUACUAUGUGCACAUAAACGGAUAGUAGAGGCUAUCACAGAGUGGGAUCAGGAGGAUGAAGUAGGGUAAAGUGUACAGAGUGCUUGGCACAGUGCCUGGCCCUUAGUCCCUGAGGAUCUUUGCUGGCAGCAGAGGCCACUCUCCCCAGGGGAGGGCCACAGGGCAGGGGCCUUAGUUCCAGCCACAGAGAGACUGCCUAGCAGAACCCUCCUCUAUGUUAAUCUCUGGCUCCCUGAGUUCUAGGCUUUGGGGAUAGGAAGAUCUUCUCUCCCCAGGAACUGAGGAGGUAAGAAUCCACCCCCGUCCCAGCCCCAGCAAGACCCCCAGGGCCGCAAGCACUUCCUGAGCUUCUCUGUGCCCCCCUCCAGCCAGCCUAGAAGAAAACCGGGAGACCUGGCUCCGGCUGUGUUUUCCUUGCCUCCGCACUCUCGAAUGGGAGGCCCACAGGCCAAGGAAUGGAGUAAGUCUGUUUUCCUAGCUGGCCUUGUCCCCUCAAGGGGACACCAGUGCCUCCACGUUGCUGAGGUUUCUCCCACUUUAGCCAAGCUCUCUGCCUGCCCUUGUCCACCCCCACUGGGGGCCUGUUUGCCAGAAUCUUUCAGCACCUCUUCUCUUUCACAAUCAAUCUGACCCUUUUUGCUAUUGUUUUUGUAGGUUAAUUGAAUACGUUCUCCUCUCGGUGGAGACAGCAGGCAGGGCCAAGCACAACAGGCCCAGUGCGAAGGGGGCUUGGGAGGCCCAUCCCACCUCGGCAGCCUGGGGCCUGCUCAGGCAAGGGCAGGGGGACACUGAUGGGGCCAGGAUGUAAUUGACCUCGCCUGCAGGCAGCAGCUCGCUGGGGUGGGAGACGCGGGGGAGGAGAGCACCAGGCCACCCUUUCAAUCCCUGCUCUUCCUUCCUCCUUUUUUUUUUCAGAGCAGAUUAUCCCUAAAUUCUUCAGUUGGUAUUUUCUGAGCACCUUCUAACAGCAGAAAACUGUAGCACGCCUCGAGGUGUGAUGAUGGAAACCAGGCUGGCCGUGGUCUCACCCACGGGCGAGUUUGUGCCCAAGGGGACACUUAGCAAUGUCUGGAGACAGUUUUGGCUGGUGGCGCUGAGCAGGGGGGUGCUGCUGGCACCCCUAGUGGGUAGCGGCCAGGG
Molecule: long non-coding RNA, 1851 nt
Organism: Callithrix jacchus (white-tufted-ear marmoset)
Lineage: Eukaryota; Metazoa; Chordata; Mammalia; Primates; Cebidae
Source: Ensembl